This 1537-nucleotide ribosomal RNA is filed under the name Klebsiella pneumoniae. RNAcentral's name for it is "bacterial SSU rRNA". It matches the Rfam family "Bacterial small subunit ribosomal RNA". Lineage: Bacteria; Pseudomonadati; Pseudomonadota; Gammaproteobacteria; Enterobacterales; Enterobacteriaceae. The record is from RNAcentral.
UUGAAGAGUUUGAUCAUGGCUCAGAUUGAACGCUGGCGGCAGGCCUAACACAUGCAAGUCGAGCGGUAGCACAGAGAGCUUGCUCUCGGGUGACGAGCGGCGGACGGGUGAGUAAUGUCUGGGAAACUGCCUGAUGGAGGGGGAUAACUACUGGAAACGGUAGCUAAUACCGCAUAACGUCGCAAGACCAAAGUGGGGGACCUUCGGGCCUCAUGCCAUCAGAUGUGCCCAGAUGGGAUUAGCUAGUAGGUGGGGUAACGGCUCACCUAGGCGACGAUCCCUAGCUGGUCUGAGAGGAUGACCAGCCACACUGGAACUGAGACACGGUCCAGACUCCUACGGGAGGCAGCAGUGGGGAAUAUUGCACAAUGGGCGCAAGCCUGAUGCAGCCAUGCCGCGUGUGUGAAGAAGGCCUUCGGGUUGUAAAGCACUUUCAGCGGGGAGGAAGGCGGUGAGGUUAAUAACCUCAUCGAUUGACGUUACCCGCAGAAGAAGCACCGGCUAACUCCGUGCCAGCAGCCGCGGUAAUACGGAGGGUGCAAGCGUUAAUCGGAAUUACUGGGCGUAAAGCGCACGCAGGCGGUCUGUCAAGUCGGAUGUGAAAUCCCCGGGCUUAACCUGGGAACUGCAUUCGAAACUGGCAGGCUAGAGUCUUGUAGAGGGGGGUAGAAUUCCAGGUGUAGCGGUGAAAUGCGUAGAGAUCUGGAGGAAUACCGGUGGCGAAGGCGGCCCCCUGGACAAAGACUGACGCUCAGGUGCGAAAGCGUGGGGAGCAAACAGGAUUAGAUACCCUGGUAGUCCACGCCGUAAACGAUGUCGAUUUGGAGGUUGUGCCCUUGAGGCGUGGCUUCCGGAGCUAACGCGUUAAAUCGACCGCCUGGGGAGUACGGCCGCAAGGUUAAAACUCAAAUGAAUUGACGGGGGGCCCGCACAAGCGGUGGAGCAUGUGGUUUAAUUCGAUGCAACGCGAAGAACCUUACCUGGUCUUGACAUCCACAGAACUUUCCAGAGAUGGAUUGGUGCCUUCGGGAACUGUGAGACAGGUGCUGCAUGGCUGUCGUCAGCUCGUGUUGUGAAAUGUUGGGUUAAGUCCCGCAACGAGCGCAACCCUUAUCCUUUGUUGCCAGCGGUCCGGCCGGGAACUCAAAGGAGACUGCCAGUGAUAAACUGGAGGAAGGUGGGGAUGACGUCAAGUCAUCAUGGCCCUUACGACCAGGGCUACACACGUGCUACAAUGGCAUAUACAAAGAGAAGCGACCUCGCGAGAGCAAGCGGACCUCAUAAAGUAUGUCGUAGUCCGGAUUGGAGUCUGCAACUCGACUCCAUGAAGUCGGAAUCGCUAGUAAUCGUAGAUCAGAAUGCUACGGUGAAUACGUUCCCGGGCCUUGUACACACCGCCCGUCACACCAUGGGAGUGGGUUGCAAAAGAAGUAGGUAGCUUAACCUUCGGGAGGGCGCUUACCACUUUGUGAUUCAUGACUGGGGUGAAGUCGUAACAAGGUAACCGUAGGGGAACCUGCGGUUGGAUCACCUCCUU